GAGCGCGUAGCUCAGUUGGUAGAGCAACUGACUUUUAAUCAGUAGGUCCAGGGUUCGAAUCCCUGCGCGCUCA
Molecule: transfer RNA, 73 nt
Filed under: Bartonella schoenbuchensis R1
Lineage: Bacteria; Pseudomonadati; Pseudomonadota; Alphaproteobacteria; Hyphomicrobiales; Bartonellaceae
Also listed under: 4 other names
Description: tRNA-Lys
Rfam family: tRNA
About the family: Transfer RNA (tRNA) molecules are approximately 80 nucleotides in length.
Source: RNAcentral